CAGUGCAGAUGAGGAAACCAAGGUCCAGAGCAGUGAACCGAUUUGUCCCAGGCCCUCCUGGGCCUUGGCACGUAGUUUUGGGCUUUUAACAAUUACACUUUCUGGAAACAUUAAGACUCUGUUCCUACAUUUUCUUACAUCCUCCCUGUGCUGUGAAUUUGGAUCUGGAGUCAAACAAACCUGGACUGAAAUCCUGGCCCUGCACGCCUCCAGCGUAUGUGACGCCAGCCAAGUUACCAUCUCUGACCACUCUUCCCUUGCGUGGAAAAGAGAGGGAGGACAACAGGGGCUUCUUCGUGUGGCUGGUGUAGGAAUCCAACGGAAAAGACCUGUAAAACUACGUUCCAUGCAGUUUGCCAACUGAUUUGACCAAUACUUAUCAAGCACAAGCCACGAGCCAGACAUCCACCAGGGCCUGGGAGAGAAGGGUGAAGAAGACUGUCCAGGACCUCGCAGUGCUUACAGUCUAGAGAUGGGCACAGACAGGCAGGAGCACAGAAAGCCCUUGAAGAAUCACAGAGGACCAAAGACUCGGGAGGGCAAUGCUAGGAUGCAGGAAACAGGAGAAACGUGCCACUCUGGGAAUGCCACUCAACACUGACUUGACCCUGCUGCUCAGAAGCUGGUGAUUUGGGGUAAGUUGCUUUGCCUCUCUGAGUCUUACUUUCCCUAGCUUUAAAUUGGGCAUGGAUUAAUUACUUAAUUCAGUUAACUACUUAACUAAAAUAAAGGAGUUAAUGGGUGAGACGGUUCUAGAGGCUUCUGGCAGAGAGUAGUUGAUCAACAAAAGCUUGUUUCAUCUGAAUCCGCUGGCAUCUCUUCGGUGACGGAGGAGGAGAGCCAGACCCCUAAAAGGAGAAAGGUUAUGCCAAGCCCGUCAAGUGGGGAUAAAUGCAGAGCUAACUGCAGGCAUACGAGGCUCACACACACAUGCACCCACCGUGGUAGCUGUGACUACUCGUCUGCGGGAGUAUCUACGCCGCUCUCUGUCCAUUCACCUGUUGACUGCCGAUACUACGGGCAGGUCCUGCCUGAGCACCUGCUGACGUCACGUCUUCCACCUUCACACCACAGGUGUGAGGUCACCAUCGUCAUUACCCUCAUCCCACCAAGGAAUAAACGCAACUUGCCACGAGUCUCCGUGAGCCGAGCGGGGGCGCUGACACUCAGAGCCGGCCUGUCUGACCACGGAGCCGGCGGCUUCACCACGCGUGGCGGCCACAGGGAGCCCCACAGGUGCCCGGGGAGCAGACGGCAGCACCACUAAUUCCCCCAGGCUGGGUCAGGGCACGGGUUGGUGAAGGGGUGCCAUGUGGGUGGGGCCACGGAGCAAGUGAAUCAUCGGGGGCUCGUGGUGUGAUGGAGCCACACAAAUCCAAGUUCGCGUGCUCGCCCUGCGGCUCAACCGACUCUGUGACCUCGAGGGACUGACGGUGCCUUUCCGAGCCCUUGUUUCCUCAUCUGCCAAUGGGGAUGAAAUGGCUACAUCGAAAGGUUGAUGCAAAAACGCAAAGCAUAAAUGCGGGUAAAAGCUGUAGGGACAGAAAGCGGUCUGGUACGAAGUAGUGAAGCAGAACGUGAUGCGUAGGUAUUCGGCCCUCAGAAAUACAUGCGCAUGAGUAUGAGGACAUAAGUACCCGGAUGUCCAGGGCAGCGCCAGUCGCAAAAGUCUCAAACCACCCAAAUGUCCGUCUACGGUAAAACUGAAGGGCGGCCCUAUAUCCACAUAUGGAACUA
Molecule: long non-coding RNA, 1737 nt
Organism: Leopardus geoffroyi (Geoffroy's cat)
Lineage: Eukaryota; Metazoa; Chordata; Mammalia; Carnivora; Felidae
Exons: 3
Source: RefSeq, a predicted model, not a curated record